This 97-nucleotide signal recognition particle RNA is filed under the name Ignavibacteriota bacterium. RNAcentral describes it as "Ignavibacteriae bacterium (activated sludge metagenome) signal recognition particle sRNA small type". It matches the Rfam family "Bacterial small signal recognition particle RNA". From Rfam's summary of the family: The signal recognition particle (SRP) is a universally conserved ribonucleoprotein involved in the co-translational targeting of proteins to membranes. Archaeal SRP consists of a 7S RNA and homologues of the eukaryotic SRP19 and SRP54 proteins. RNAcentral also lists the same sequence under 1 other name. The record is from RNAcentral. Lineage: Bacteria; Pseudomonadati; Ignavibacteriota.
UGCCAAGCACUGGUUAACAGGUUGUUGCCCAACUCCGUCAGGUCCGGAAGGAAGCAGCGGUAAGUAUUCAAUUUGUGUAAUUAGCUGCUUGGCUUUU